UAGCAAUGUCUAUGCGUCUUGUACAAAUGUGCAGCCUUCAAAGAGAGUUGAAGUUUCUUUUACCGAAGUCGUGACCGAAGUCUGACCUUCAUCGCUUGCGGUUCCUCAUCUUGUGCCUACAUAACUAACUGCACAUGAUCCACUAGCCCAACUAAGUGGACGGCCGGACUGGAACUCGAAGGGCAGACCACAAGCUGCUGCGUCGGCACAGUACCAACCCAAGCUGGGGCACAGUGCCAACUGUGCUCCCUU
This 252-nucleotide long non-coding RNA is filed under the name Chlamydomonas reinhardtii. RNAcentral describes it as "long non-coding RNA (CREI_LNC001065)". Lineage: Eukaryota; Viridiplantae; Chlorophyta; Chlorophyceae; Chlamydomonadales; Chlamydomonadaceae. The record is from RNAcentral.